CGGGUAGCUUCUUCGGAGGACAUUA
Molecule: ribosomal RNA, 25 nt
Filed under: Veluticeps fasciculata
Lineage: Eukaryota; Fungi; Basidiomycota; Agaricomycetes; Gloeophyllales; Gloeophyllaceae
Description: partial 18S ribosomal RNA
Source: RNAcentral